CAAUAGCGUAUAUUAAUGUUGUUGCAGUUAAAAAGCUCGUAGUUGGAUUUCGAAUGGGAGCGGUGGGUCGGGUCCGCAAGGGCUCGUUACCUGUUUCGUCUCCGGUUCUUUUUCGGGAUUUGUUUCUGGCGUGGCUGGCAUUGAGUUGUCGGUGGCGUCGGGCCCGUCGUUUACUGUGAACAAAUUAGAGUGUUCAAAGCAAGGUGUGUCUUGAAUACAUUAGCAUGGAAUAAUGAGAUAGGACUUUGGUGGUUUCGGUGAAAGCCGGAUAUUUUGUUGGUUUGCACGCCAAAGUAAUGAUUAAUAGGAGCAGUUGGGGGUAUUCGUAUUCAAUUGUCAGAGGUGAAAUUCUUGGAUUUCUAGAAGACGAACUACUGCGAAANCANNNACCAGGGAUGUUUUCAUNAA
This 408-nucleotide ribosomal RNA is filed under the name uncultured eukaryote. RNAcentral's name for it is "partial 18S ribosomal RNA". It matches the Rfam family "Eukaryotic small subunit ribosomal RNA", at positions 592 to 976 of the family's 1831-position model. The record is from RNAcentral.